GACGAACGUUGGCGGCGUGCUUAAUACAUGCAAGUCAACUGAAGCAGUGGUAGCAAUAUCGCUGUGGAGGUGGCGCACGGGUGAGUAACACGUAGGUAAUCUGCCUUCAGGUCUGGCAUAACUCCGGGAAACCGGGGCUAAUAGCAGAUGAUGCAGCGGCUCGACAUCGAGACAGUUGUUAAAGCUAUGGCGCCUGAAGAUGAGCCUGCGUCUGAUUAGCUAGUUGGCGGGGUAACGGCCCACCAAGGCAACGAUCAGUAGCUGGUCUGAGAGGAUGAUCAGCCACACUGGAACUGAGACACGGUCCAGACUCCUACGGGAGGCAGCAGUAAGGAAUAUUGCUCAAUGGGAGAAAUCCUGAAGCAGCAACGCCGCGUGAGGGACGAAGGGCUUUUGCUUGCAAACCUCUGUAGUGAGAGAAAAGAAUCCCAAUCUUUGGGACAUGAUGGUAUCUCAAAAGUAAGCCCCGGCUAACUACGUG
Molecule: ribosomal RNA, 481 nt
Filed under: uncultured bacterium
Lineage: Bacteria
Description: partial 16S ribosomal RNA
Rfam family: Bacterial small subunit ribosomal RNA
Source: RNAcentral